GACGAACGCUGGCGGCGUGCCUAAUACAUGCAAGUAGAACGCACAGUUUAUACCGUAGCUUGCUACACCAUAGACUGUGAGUUGCGAACGGGUGAGUAACGCGUAGGUAACCUGCCUGGUAGCGGGGGAUAACUAUUGGAAACGAUAGCUAAUACCGCAUAAUAUUAAUUAUUGCAUGAUAAUUAAUUGAAAGGUGCAAUUGCACCACUACCAGAUGGACCUGCGUUGUAUUAGCUAGUAGGUGAGGUAACGGCUCACCUAGGCGACGAUACAUAGCCGACCUGAGAGGGUGAUCGGCCACACCGGGACUGAGACACGGCCCAGACUCCUACGGGAGGCAGCAGUAGGGAAUCUUCGGCAAUGGACGAAAGUCUGACCGAGCAACGCCGCGUGAGUGAAGAAGGUUUUCGGAUCGUAAAGCUCUGUUGUAAGAGAAGAACGGGUGUGAGAGCGGAAAGUUCACACUGUGACGGUAUCUUACCAGAAAGGACGGU
RNAcentral lists this ribosomal RNA (494 nucleotides) under Streptococcus gordonii. RNAcentral describes it as "bacterial SSU rRNA". It matches the Rfam family "Bacterial small subunit ribosomal RNA", at positions 28 to 496 of the family's 1533-position model. The record is from RNAcentral. Lineage: Bacteria; Bacillati; Bacillota; Bacilli; Lactobacillales; Streptococcaceae.